RNAcentral lists this long non-coding RNA (1325 nucleotides) under Chrysemys picta bellii (western painted turtle). Its description in RNAcentral is "lncRNA (ENSCPBG00000012560.1)". Lineage: Eukaryota; Metazoa; Chordata; Testudines; Emydidae. The record is from RNAcentral.
CUGGUUUGGAGGGGACCCCCGGGUUUUGCUGUUCUUUGAAUCCUCUACCCAUCUGAGAAGGUAACAGUGAGACAUACCAUCUGCAGCACACACAGCAGCUAUUGGACGCUACUACUGACAGUUUGCACUACAGUUUUUGAAAAAGAAGAAUCCAAGUCCAUCUGGAGGAAUUUUUAAUUUCCUUUGGAGAAGUUUUAGGAGGGACCAUCCAAAAGUUUCACCUACUAUGUCAUUGAUCAUAUUUUGUGUGAGAUCACGUCUACCUUGCCAGUUGGGAGGAAUGGAACAUCCAGUGUAUGUGACACAUCAUGACCUGCUCUCUUAAUUUGUUCAGUUUGUAUCUAAAAAGCCUCUGGGUGGGUUGUUGUUGUUUGUGGGAAUUGAAUCUGGAACAUUUGAUCUGAACACAUGGUCUGUCUGAGCUAAAAGACACAGCAUUGUUACCUUAAAGGCUAUAUAGACUCGACCUCUGUAUGGGUCAACCGCUAGAGAAGGACAAAAAGCCACACUGUAAGCAUGGGUUACACUUACAUAUUUAGCCACUAAUGUCUCUAGAUCUUAGUGAAGAGAUCAUUUAGAAAACUUCUGAAGGGGAAGUUACAAGAUAUAGCACUGGGACUUCACUUUUGUUAUUUCACUGUAGAGUUCACUUUUAUUAUACCCACUGCAAUUUAAAAUAUAAUCAAGGUUGUGAAAGUGAGAUUAGAUAACUCCUGGAGAUUAGUGGCACAAGCCAGGGUGAAACAGUUUUACAGAGGGAUUUGAAGGAAUGGAAAGCUUGUCCAGUGAACAGAAGAGAGGAGCUUGUCCCAGACAUAGGGGUCAGCAUGCUAAAGCUGCAGAUAUGUGAGGGAGGAGGACAUGGGGGAAGCAGUUAGAGAAAGGUGGGGAAAGUGCAGAGGAUGAAUAUUGUGGAAGACAGUGGGUUGGAGAAGGUGUCGGGGGUUACUCCAAGUAGAGGGUUGGGACAUGAGAGAAGGAAGAUAUGAUAGAGAGAUAAAGGGAGUAUAGGGAGUAAGGCAGUGAGGAGAUCAGGCAGAGCCCUGCAGGGCUGUGAAGGUGAGAAGUCUGAAUUUAAUGUAGGAGGACUGGGAGGAAGAUAGAGUGAUGGGUGUCAAAACAGCAGCUAGCGGCAAUGGAAUCUGGAUACAAUGGAGCUUGAAGAAGCAGUCCCCAGCUUGGAACUAAAACAGGUGGAAUAGAUGGACACUUUCACAUUUAAAUGUUUGACCUGAGUGUCCAAAUGCUAUAUCUGGAAGUCCUAUUUGGACUGACACUUUGAAAAUCUGCCUCACAGAAGAAAUAUGGAGACCCUUCUGUAAAAG